UACAGGGGGUGCAAACGUUGCUCGGAAUCAUUGGGCGUAAAGCGCACGUAGGCGGUUCGUUAUGUCGGAUGUGAAAGCCCUUGGCUUAACCGAGGAAGUGCAUCCGAAACUGGCGAGCUAGAGUACGAAAGAGGAUCGCGGAAUUCCCGGUGUAGAGGUGAAAUUCGUAGAUAUCGGGAGGAACACCGGUGGCGAAGGCGGCGAUCUGGACGGUUUCUGACACUAAGACUCGAAAGCGUGGGGAGCAAACAGG
This 253-nucleotide ribosomal RNA is filed under the name uncultured bacterium. RNAcentral describes it as "partial 16S ribosomal RNA". It matches the Rfam family "Bacterial small subunit ribosomal RNA", at positions 524 to 776 of the family's 1533-position model. The record is from RNAcentral.